CCUUAGAGUUUGAUCCUGGCUCAGGAUGAACGCUAGCGACAGGCCUAACACAUGCAAGUCGAGGGGUAACAGGGGCUUCGGCCCGCUGACGACCGGCGCACGGGUGAGUAACGCGUAUGCAACCUGCCUGUAACAGCGGGAUAGCUCCCUGAAAGGGGAAUUAACACCGCAUAAGACCACGCUCUCGCAUGGGGACGGGGUAAAAUACUUAUAGGUUACAGAUGGGCAUGCGUGACAUUAGUUAGUUGGUGAGGUAACGGCUCACCAAGACUGCGAUGUCUAGGGGUUCUGAGAGGAAGGUCCCCCACACUGGAACUGAGACACGGUCCAGACUCCUACGGGAGGCAGCAGUGAGGAAUAUUGGUCAAUGGACGCAAGUCUGAACCAGCCAUGUCGCGUGCAGGAUGACUGCCCUAUGGGUUGUAAACUUCUUUUGCAAGGGAAUAAAGUGGGGGACGUGUCCUCCUUUGCAUGUACCUUGCGAAUAAGGAUCGGCUAACUCCGUGCCAGCAGCCGCGGUAAUACGGAGGAUCCGAGCGUUAUCCGGAUUUAUUGGGUUUAAAGGGUGCGCAGGCGGGAUGUUAAGUCGGCGGCGAAAUUUUGCAGCUCAACUGUAAAAGUGCCUUCGAUACUGGCUUUCUUGAGUGUGGAUGAAGUAGGCGGAAUUUGUGGUGUAGCGGUGAAAUGCUUAGAUAUCACGAGGAACUCCGAUUGCGCAGGCAGCUUACUAAACCACUACUGACGCUCAUGCACGAAGGCGUGGGGAUCAAACAGGAUUAGAUACCCUGGUAGUCCACGCAGUAAACGAU
Molecule: ribosomal RNA, 809 nt
Filed under: uncultured bacterium
Lineage: Bacteria
Description: bacterial SSU rRNA
Rfam family: Bacterial small subunit ribosomal RNA
Source: RNAcentral